AAAGUUUGAUUCUAACUUAAACCUUAGCUCUUUCCCUUCUGCCACAUGUAAGCUAAAAGCGCCCCAGUGAAAAAACUAGACAUAUCUACGAUACCUCUAAAAAACCAACACCCCUUUCACGACCCUCAGUGCUUAACAUUAUUAAUUCUAAGAAAUUAGGAAAUAGAAAGAGAAAAAAAAAGGUGGUAAAUAACGUGCCAGCAACCGCGGUUACACGUUAACCUUUAACUAAAGAAACCGGUACAAAAAAAGAAAGAAACAAAAACUCUUGUAAACCCAAAUAACAGCAGUAAUAAGCUUAACAACAAAAAAUACAAGAAAAUUUCCACCCAAAAAGAACAGAAAUAAACCGGGAUUAGAUACCCCGCUAUACAUUAACCAAAAACCCUAAAACCAGAGCAGUAAAGCCAAAACCUAAAACUUAAAGAACUUGGCGGUUUCCUAAACCUACUUAGAGGAGCUUGUUAUCCAAUCGAUACCCCACGAGAAACCUCACUUGUCUUAGAAUUCCAGCCUGUAUACCAUCGUCGCCAGCCUACCUUACAAGAAAGUAGACUACAAGAAAACAACUCCCAACGUCAGAUCAAGGUGCAGCCCAUAAACAAGGGAUCAAUGAGCUACCUUACUUAAAAACAGAGGACCUAACCCUUAAAAAAUUAAAAAAAUAGGAUUUAAUAGUACCCACUUAAAGAAAUAAGAAAGAGAAAAAAGCUCUAGGAAACGCACACAUCGCCCGUCACUCUCCUCCAAAGAAGAGAAAAGUCGUAACAAAGUAGGUGUACCGGAAGGUGCCACCUAGACAAG
This 804-nucleotide non-coding RNA is filed under the name Phyrella fragilis. The record is from RNAcentral. Lineage: Eukaryota; Metazoa; Echinodermata; Holothuroidea; Dendrochirotida; Phyllophoridae.